CGCGUUGGCGGGGCGCCCGGCCUUGCGCCCCCGCCCAUUGUGUGCUGGCCCCCGGGCUUCACCGCAGCCGCCGGCUGUCCCCCGCCCCGCCCAGCCCGUGCGCGCAGGCCGGGCCCUCCCUUCGGGAAGCUGGGGUGGCUUGCUCCGCGCGCUCUGACGCCCUCUCCGCGGGCUGGUCCGGGACCCUGCGCCCCGGCCGGCUGGACUGCCUGCUGUCGCUUAGCUUUUCGUACUCCAGACCUGGCAGCCCCCCCCCCCCCCCCCCCCGGAGGCCUGCCCCACUUGGCCCUACUCCGACACCCUCUUCUCGGCCAAGGGGUCGCCCGUCCACACCAAAUUUUUUGAGACCUUAAUAUUUAUUCUUGAAUGGCCUUACAUUUUUUAUUACAAAGGCUCCCAGUCCAAAGUCGCUUCAAGGGGAAAACGCGAUUGUAGUCAGCCACUACCACAAAUUAUGCAGUCGAGUUUCCCACAUUUGGGGAAAUCACAGAGGUCAGCACGUCCAGAGUGCAAUGGAUAAGCCUCACCCUGGGAAAACCACCUUAGUGAUCAUGGUAUCUCCCCUGCCAGAUCCUUUCAGGAAGAAUUGCUAAUGAUGUACUUCAGGAAGAAGAAACUUGUACUCAUACAAAGGAGUGAGGAAUGAGGGCAAGUGACGGAAGCAAGAUCUUGGCAAAGGUCUUGGCUCAAAAAAGCAACGGUAAGAACGGGUAAAAUGAUCAAAAACAACCAUUUCAGUACUCUGGAAGUUAACCAAAGGCAGACAGCAAAUUGAAAGGCAAUUCAACAAAACACUUGAGAGCCUCAGUAAUAACAAUGGCGUCUGUGACAUUUUACUACCAGGUGACUCCCGUUUCCCUUCCCCCAACCCCAAAGGCCAGGACAUGGUAGCCACGAGAAUUGGCUGCCUUACUGCUGCUGGAGGGGCUGACCUGAUUUCGGAGCUCUGCAAAAAAAAAUUCAUAAUUGAGAGGUGAUGUUGAAAAUAAUAUCAAUUAGUGGCAAAGCAUUGGGGGAACGCCAGUGUCAUGGCCACCUAAGGCUUCAGUGCCAUUUGGGACAAGCAAGCGACCAGCCAAAAUUUUGAGAAGAUCUGGGGCACAAGAUAGCCAUGGGGGACUUUGGGAAGCACCAGCGUAUUCCUGGGGAUCUAGAAGCACACACACACUAAGAGCUGCGUGUACAUGUAGGAGGGGACUCAACCCUGGAUCCCUGGCUGACCAUGAGGGCCUAUGAGGCCGAAAGUAAAAUCCAAGUCAGACUUGUAGCCUGCCUGACUUUUGUGUUCCCCAGCCCACACUCUAAGGUCCAGCUGGCAAAGGACAGAAAGAAGGCGCUCCUUCAAGGUAUUUAAGGAAAACUUCUGACCAACUAAUGACUGGCCACUAAGCUGUGCUGAGCCAGGAGUGGUCCCUAGGAAGGCUGGUUUAAAAACAAAAAUAAGAACUAAAACAAGCAAGCAAACUGAACAGAGGCUUUGGUUGUCCCACACUGCGGGGAAGACAAAACAUACAGAACUAGUCCAGGCAAGUCACCAAA
This is a long non-coding RNA of Neofelis nebulosa (Clouded leopard), 1539 nucleotides long. RefSeq lists it as uncharacterized. The transcript has 4 exons. NCBI's taxonomy places the organism in Eukaryota, Metazoa, Chordata, Mammalia, Carnivora, Felidae. The record is from RefSeq and is a predicted model, not a curated record.